RNAcentral lists this ribosomal RNA (394 nucleotides) under Heterotermes tenuis. Its description in RNAcentral is "partial large subunit ribosomal RNA". Lineage: Eukaryota; Metazoa; Arthropoda; Insecta; Blattodea; Rhinotermitidae. The record is from RNAcentral.
CUUUUUUUGUUAGUUUUUGAAGUAUGGCCUGCCCGCUGACUUUUAGUUGAAGGGCCGCGGUAUUUUGACCGUGCAAAGGUAGCACAAUCAUUAGUUCUUUAAUUGUGAUCUGGAAUGAAUGGCUUGACGAGAUGCGAGCUGUCUUAAAUUUGAAUAUUUUAUUGAAUUUGGUUUUUGAGUUAAAAUUCUUAGAUGUUUUUAUGGGACGAGAAGACCCUAUAGAGUUUGACAUGUUGGUUUACUUGUUUAUUUGUCGUUUGUUUUGUUUUUGAUAAGUGGGCUUUAUGUUUUGUUGGGGUGAUGAGAGGAAUAUAAUUUAACUCCUCUUGGUUUAGUGGUUAUAUUGAUUUAUAUUUAUUUGAUCCCUUUUUUUUGAUUAUAAGAUUAAAUUACC